This 492-nucleotide ribosomal RNA is filed under the name uncultured bacterium. Its description in RNAcentral is "partial 16S ribosomal RNA". It matches the Rfam family "Bacterial small subunit ribosomal RNA", at positions 29 to 507 of the family's 1533-position model. The record is from RNAcentral.
AGUGAACGCUGGCGGUAGGCCUAACACAUGCAAGUCGAACGGCAGCACAGUAAGAGCUUGCUCUUACGGGUGGCGAGUGGCGGACGGGUGAGGAAUACAUCGGAAUCUACUUUUUCGUGGGGGAUAACGUAGGGAAACUUACGCUAAUACCGCAUACGACCUACGGGUGAAAGCAGGGGAUCUUCGGACCUUGCGCGAUUGAAUGAGCCGAUGUCGGAUUAGCUAGUUGGCGGGGUAAAGGCCCACCAAGGCGACGAUCCGUAGCUGGUCUGAGAGGAUGAUCCGCCACCCUGGAACUGAGACACGGUCCAGACUCCUACGGGAGGCAGCAGUGGGGAAUAUUGGACAAUGGGCGCAAGCCUGAUCCAGCCAUACCGCGUGGGUGAAGAAGGCCUUCGGGUUGUAAAGCCCUUUUGUUGGGAAAGAAAAGCAGCAGGUUAAUACCCCGCUGUUCUGACGGUACCCAAAGAAUAAGCACCGGCUAACUUCGUG